UCCUUGAGGCUCUCUAAGACAUCCUUUCAAAUCUAGGUAGACGUAGUCCUGGUUCCUUGAUACCAGCAGGAAUCGGGAUAGGGUCCAUGUUCCACAGAGUUGAAGAAUGAACACCACAAAUGCCCAGUUUCUGAAGAUGGCAGAAGGAAGAUCAAGGUACCAGCAUAUUUGGCAUCUGGUGAAGGUUCAUUCUCUGCUUCAGGAUGCCAAUCUUGUUUUUGUGUUCUUUGGAGGAGAUAAACUGUAUCCUUGAAUGGCAGAAGAAAUCCAGACUGUGGAAUGUGUGAAGACUGGGACAUCCAGUACAAAAGCGUUGUGGCCCAUGCAAGUUUCCUAGUUUUCCAUGUAAGAUUUGCUUUCCAUUUUAAAGAUCCAUUGAAACAGAUCUGCAGGACAAGAUAAAGGUCACCAACCUGAAACCUGAAGAAUUACAUCUCUUUCUACACUUUUUUUUUUUAGUUGUAGAUGGACACAAUACCUUUCUUUUGUUUAUGUGGAGCUGGGGAUCGAACCCAGGGCCUCAUGCAUGCUAUGCAAGCACUCUACCACUGAGCCACAACCCCAGCCCUACACUUUCUUUUUGAAAAUAAGGAAGAACAAUACGAAGGAUGGAAGAGUAGCAGAAUUUUUAUCAUUCCAUUGUAGAAGAAAAUUUGUAAUGUUACUUUUUAAAAUUGUACUUUCUUUGUCUCUAGGCAUUUUAAAGAAUAUGAUUCAAACCAUCUCACACAGCCAUCUGCUUUAAUACCUCUGUCUAGCAUUGCCAGAAAAAAAUCAACCAUUUGAUUGUCCCUAAGAACAUAUUAAGUUGGGAUCUCUUUGUUUUGAAAAUAUAUAUUAUCAUGCAGAUUCAAUAGAAUUCAUUGGAACCCCUAAUAACCAUUGGUAUUUUCUUCUUAAGAAAUUGUAUUUUGUUUCUUUCCUUAGCCCAUUAUCCUAUUUAUAAUUUCAGAGGCUACAUAGCUUCCCCUGAUUAGGGAAUGUAUGGAUGCCAGUUCAAGUCUAGUAACUUGUAAGUUUUUGGGUAUGCUUCAAUGUGUGUCUAACUUAGCCUAAUAAUUUGUUGAAGUAAAUUCUGCUUUUCUGAUGGA
Molecule: non-coding RNA, 1091 nt
Organism: Ictidomys tridecemlineatus (thirteen-lined ground squirrel)
Lineage: Eukaryota; Metazoa; Chordata; Mammalia; Rodentia; Sciuridae
Source: RefSeq, a predicted model, not a curated record